UGUCCUCUAAAUAAGGACCAGCAUGAACGGCAACAUGAGAAAGAACCUGUCUCUUUUGGCUAGUCAGUGAAACUGAUCUGCCUGUACAAAAGCAAGCAUGAAAAAACAAGACAAAAAGACCCUGUGAAACUUUAAAUAUCCUUCAACCCAAUGACAGGGCAUUUUUCGGUUGGGGCAACCAAUGAGAAACAAACCUCAUAAAAUCACAAGACACACAAGCCAAGUGAACUAAAAAGAUCCAGUACUACUGAUCAAAGGACAAAGCUACUCCAGGGAUAACAGCGCUACAUUCUUAAAGAGUCCAUAUCAACAAGAAUACCUACGACCUCGAUGUUGGAUCAGGGCACCCCAAUGGCGCAAAAGCUAUUAAAGGUUCGUUUGUUCAACGAUUAAAGC
This 396-nucleotide ribosomal RNA is filed under the name Draco melanopogon. RNAcentral describes it as "16S ribosomal RNA". It matches the Rfam family "Bacterial large subunit ribosomal RNA", at positions 1970 to 2594 of the family's 2925-position model. The record is from RNAcentral. Lineage: Eukaryota; Metazoa; Chordata; Lepidosauria; Squamata; Agamidae.